GAAACUGCCUUGGCCUUUUGAUAGGGCAGAACUUAGGUAAGCGGGGAAGACAGAACUGAAUGCUGGGAGUAAGAAGGCAGAGUCAAGAUAAGGCAUGGAUCCUCUGCCGGGGAUGGACACUGGUUAGACUCUCCGGAAGAGCUUUGGCAACCACCAAUGAUACUGAGGGAGUGUGGAGGUGCCGGACUUGGAAAAGCCAUCCGGACGCGGACUGCAUUUGUACCAGGAUUUCUCACACUCAUAGAAAUACCUUUCGGUAUGUGUACGCGCUUGAAGGGCCCACUCCUCAGGCACUCACCGAUGUCGUCGUCAGUCCUGUCUAUGGGGUCCUUCUCCAGGCAGUCCCUCACGAUGUCCCUGCUCAUCAGGGGGUCCGAAGCCCUCUCGAUGUCUUCUUCAUCGUCGUCGUCCUCAGAAUCCACGGCCGUCUCUGGCAGUCCACUCAGGUCCAUGUCCCCAGCCUCGCUCUCCGUGGCCUUGCAUCGGACGAAAAACAGAUUUUAAAGACUCUCUUAAUUCAACCAGUCACAGGGCGCCUAAGAGGUGAGAGCUGAUUUUGUGCCAGCAGUUAUGUACUCAACUUGGAGUCCCCAAAACAAUUUUUCCAGAGGAGGGAUCACCCUGAUCAGAGCCAGGAGUCAAUGCAGCAACAUGGACCCUUUGUGUCCAAACUGCACGGUCAUCUCCACAGGUGAAUGUGGGGCCUCCUUGAUUUGGCUAAAGGUCCAUUUCUCUAUGCUGAGCUGGCUUCUUAGGGUCCUAUUGGGCGGGGGUUGCUUUCAAAGCCUUAGGCUUAAGGUGUCCGUUUGUUUAUUGGUUUGUUGGCGUGUUUGGUUCCUGACUAUUUGGUGUGUUAAUUUGAUUUAAGGAAGUGUUUCUAUUUUCCUCUUGGGGCUGUGAUAAAACACUAACCCAAAGCAACAUGGGGAGGAAAGAGUUUUUAGCUGACACCUUCAGUUCAUGGUCCAUGGUCCACCACUACAGGAAGUCAGGGCCUGAAGCAAAGACUCCAGGCAGAGCCAAGGAAGAAGGCUGCUCACGUUCCUACUUAGCCCAGAGCCAAGUGCCCUAGGAAUGGAGCUGCCUACAAUGGGCUCAGCCCUCCUCUACCCAUAAAGAACCAAGGCAAUCCCUCACAGACAGGCCCACUGCCCUGAUAAAGAUAAUUACUCGAUUGACACUCAAUUAUAGACUAUAUCAAAUUGAAGUUAAUUUUAACUAGGACAGGGAGAGAAGAAGUAUUUGGGGGAACAGAUUUUUUUUUUACUACAGCUGAUUUUAUGUUGGGUAAGUAUGUUAAUUCAAAUUGUAAAUAUUUCUAAAACAUGGAAGAAUCUAAAAGUAACUUGGGCUUUAGGUUUCCUAGGGGACAUUUACUAUCUGUAAACUGUUUCACUAUGUGCACUUAACUGUUAAUCCUAGGAAACAGAAUUUUUUCAAAUCAUAAUUAGGCAGUCUACUUUAAUUGGAAUUUAAAAACAUUUAAAAAGAAUUAAUAAACUUGGUAAUUUACAAAUUUAACAGGAGUGUAAGAAUUACAGCUAAGUUAAAAGAAGAUGUUAGAAAUAGAGGACCUGGGGAGAUGGCUCAGCAGUUACGAGCGUUUGGCUGCUCUUCCACAGAACCUGGGUUCAGUUCCCAGGAUCCACAAGGCAACUAAGAGUCAGUCCUGGGUAUCUGGUUCCCUCUUCGACUUCUGUAGGUACUGUAUGCACACACACACACACACACACACACACACACACACACACACUCACUCACUCACUCACUCUAUGGGACAUAUAAUUUAGCCUCAGUAAAAAUUAAAAUUAAGAAAGCCAUAGUUGUUAACAAUACCAGAAGACAUUGUCUUCAGUCUAUAUGACAAAUAUCACCUUUCAAUCUUUGCUGAUACAGACCCUAAAGUGUCUUCCCCACCUCCAAGUACACCUGGAUUCAUGUAACACUUAUCAUGUGAGUUUCUGAUAAUUUUUUCAUGUUUUUUUCCCUUGGGGGAGAGAGGGUCCAAAGAAGAACUUUGCAAUGAAAAUGGCCACUUCCAUUUUUUCAUUCAUUUUUUGCACACUAAAAUAAUUAUUUUUGGUAUGCUAAUUAAAAUUCCCAUAUGGAAAUUUAAGAGUUUUGAUGAUAUAUAAAAAGGCCUGAAAGAUGUAUAUCAUUAAGCUAUAAAAUUUAAGGUCAUAUAGACUUUGGUAAGAAUUUCCUUCCAAAACAGAUUCUAAAGAAAAAAAAUAAUUAAAAUUCUAUUCAUUUAUGUAAUAGCAAAUGGAUAAUGCAAGAAACAAUGGAUUUUUCCAUCCAGAAAUAUUCUUAGAAGCCAGACAUGGUGGCACAUGGCUUUAAUCCUAGCACUCAGGAAGGAGAUAGAGGCAGCUGGAGAAAUCUGACUCUGAGGCCAGCCUGGUCUACAUAUUGAGUUUCAGGUUAGCCAGGGCUACAUAGGGAAACCCUGUCUCUAAAAACAAAACAAAAAGUUGUAUGAUCUUGGAUAUCUUUCAAUAUCUACUUUUCUGCGAAACUAUGUGUGCCUGGGUAUUGUCUGCAUGAGCUCAGACUUCCACAAUCUUCACAUAGUAACAACUCGGAAAACUGAAUCUGUGUUCCCAUGCCAUGGUCACUCACAUUUAGCUCCAAAGUAAAUUAUUUUUGAGGGGAAAGGCUUUUUUAUGUGUUGAUAAUAUCAUAAGAUGAUAAUAUUGCUGCUUUUUAGUUGAGUCAGACGUAUACACCGAAUUCUGUCUGUAGACAAAUGAAUGAAACACUCAGAGUAACAAGAACCAAUUCCGUCAUCAUCCAACACUCUGCCAACUGGUGAAAACCCAGUGGUAGAGCUGCUCCCUCAACUAUGCACAGCACAGCAAAGUCUGUGAAGCAUACACAAUGCCUCAUAUAUACAACAUGCAUCCACAAUGCAUGCACAUAUAUCUACUUUAGAGCAUUUGUCUCUAAGAAUUCCAAAACGCUCCCAAGCAGAGGAGACUGAGGAGUCCUCCUUACCUGGUAAAUAUCAGAAAGACUGCUGCUGCCAGAGUCACUGGUGAUGCUACAUCCUGAAUGGCUGGAGGACACGUGGGUCACCUGGGGGUGGAGGCUGUCAGUGAGGUGGAGCUUUGUGAAAUCUGCAGGGAGCUACGGAAGCAGCAGAAGAAAAAAAAAUGGGCUUACAAUUUGAAUUGAGAACUUCAAGAAGACACUUAAAACUAUGAUGCUGUGCCCACUGCAAAGCACUGAGCAUCAGGAAAGACAUCCAUCCACAGAUUCAAAACUAGUCAAUAUUGUCCUAUUAACCAAAUUCACAAAAUGUUAAAAGUGUAAGAGCAUACAAUGAACCUUAAUAGUACUAAACUAGAUGUCUAAAUAGGUGGGUUAAGCGAUUAAGACACAUGGAUGAACAUUUAAUUUGGUAAAGAACAAUUUUCAAGUAACAAAUAAAUGAACAAAUUACCCUAGCUCUGUUUGUUAGCAAUUGCCAACCAAUGCAACUUUGUAACAAGUUUAGAUAGCUAGCCAAGGAAACAGACUUCUGGUUCAUUCAUGCUCAAAUAAUAUUUAAAACUAUUUUUUUUUUAAAGCAAGCAUCCUGGAAGCACUGAACCGUGUUGCCACUUACUAGGUUAUAUGAAAAGAGACAAAACACCUAAGAACUUGACAUUUAAGGUCUACAGACAACAUUAACUUGUCUGCAUACACCCCCUCCUCCUUGUUUACACUCUAGUUUAUAUGCACCAUCCCAAUAGUAAUGCAUUAGAAAACAUACGCUAGUUGGAAUGGUAAGACACCAACAUACUGAUCUUAUUUAGCUAGUAAAAUCUAGUAAGGGCUUGCCUUAGAAAUCUUAUUGAUCUUGAAGAUCUAUAAGAGUCACUCCUUAUACCCUCGUCCCCUCUUCAAAAAUGUAGUGCUACCACAUAGUUAUAAUAAGACUUCCAAGGGGAUGCUUGGCUUUGAUCCAUAAACUUUGAUGCCUUACGAAAAAUGGAUUUCCACCCUACAUUCACUCAGACCUGCCUAGAUGCCAACUCUCUAUCCUACGUAUACAUGUUUCCCAGUAGUUAUAAGUCUGUUACUAAAUACAGUCAACUUUAUGACACACAAAGUACAUAAGUCUUAAACACGAAUUUAUUCUACAGUGUGCAAUUAGAUGGCAAAUAGAUAAAAAACCCCUAUGUUCACAGAUAUCAGAGAAGUGGCCGGUAAAAGUGCCGCAAACAUUACCUAUCUCACACGUGUGCUCACGGAAGGUGCUGUGAGAUACAUACAACUUAGGAGAAUAGCAACUUCUCCAUAGGUACUAGACAGGUGUAUCAGCACACAUACAUUCAGAAUCUAUGCCUGUAAACUACAAAAUAAGUAACCGAAACUGAGUGAUUAUCACUCAUAAAUAUGCCUGAGAUUGACAUGUGCCACAUGGAAUUUUUUAAAUUAAAUAUGUUGAAUGAAGUUGCAAGUACCUACUGAA
Molecule: long non-coding RNA, 4459 nt
Organism: Arvicola amphibius (Eurasian water vole)
Lineage: Eukaryota; Metazoa; Chordata; Mammalia; Rodentia; Cricetidae
Exons: 3
Source: RefSeq, a predicted model, not a curated record